UACGCAGGGGGCUAGCGUUGCUCGGAUUGACUGGGCGUAAAGGGCGCGUAGGCGGUUCGUACAGUCAGACGUGAAAUCCCUCGGCUUAACCGGGGAACUGCGUCUGAUACUGGAUGGCUUGAGUUCGGGAGAGGGAUGCGGAAUUCCAGGUGUAGCGGUGAAAUGCGUAGAUAUCUGGAGGAACACCGGUGGCGAAGGCGGCGUCCUGGACCAACACUGACACUGAUGAGCGAAAGCCAGGGGAGCAAACGGG
This 253-nucleotide ribosomal RNA is filed under the name uncultured bacterium. RNAcentral describes it as "partial 16S ribosomal RNA". It matches the Rfam family "Bacterial small subunit ribosomal RNA", at positions 524 to 776 of the family's 1533-position model. The record is from RNAcentral.